UGGGUCAGCGACUUAUAUUCUGUAGCAAGGUUAACCGAAUAGGGGAGCCGGAGGGAAACCGAGUCUUAAUUGGGCGUUAAGUUGCAGGGUAUAGACCCGAAACCCGGUGAUCUAGCCAUGGGCAGGUUGAAGGUUGGGUAACACUAACUGGAGGACCGAACCGACUAAUGUUGAAAAAUUAGCGGAUGACCUGUGGCUGGGGGUGAAAGGCCAAUCAAACCGGGAGAUAGCUGGUUCUCCCCGAAAGCUAUUUAGGUAGCGCCUCGUGAAUUCAUCUCCGGGGGUAGAGCACUGUUUCGGCUAGGGGGCCAUCCCGGCUUACCAACCCGAUGCAAACUGCGAAUACCGGAGAAUGUUAUCACGGGAGACACACGGCGGGUGCUAACGUCCGUCGUGAAGAGGGAAACAACCCAGACCGCCAGCUAAGGUCCCAAAGUCAUGGUUAAGUGGGAAACGAUGUGGGAAGGCCCAGACAGCCAGGAUGUUGGCUUAGAAGCAGCCAUCAUUUAAAGAAAGCGUAAUAGCUCACUGGUCGAGUCGGCCUGCGCGGAAGAUGUAACGGGGCUAAACCAUGCACCGAAGCUGCGGCAGCGA
This 594-nucleotide ribosomal RNA is filed under the name Salmonella enterica subsp. enterica serovar Dublin. RNAcentral's name for it is "bacterial LSU rRNA". It matches the Rfam family "Bacterial large subunit ribosomal RNA", at positions 616 to 1211 of the family's 2925-position model. The record is from RNAcentral. Lineage: Bacteria; Pseudomonadati; Pseudomonadota; Gammaproteobacteria; Enterobacterales; Enterobacteriaceae.